UAGAGUUUGAUCAUGGCUCAGAGUGAACGCUGGCGGUAGGCCUAACACAUGCAAGUCGAACGGCAGCACGAGAGAGCUUGCUCUCUUGGUGGCGAGUGGCGGACGGGUGAGGAAUACAUCGGAAUCUACCUUUUGGUGGGGGAUAACGUAGGGAAACUUACGCUAAUACCGCAUACGCCCUUCGGGGGAAAGCCGGGGACCUUCGGGCCUGGCGCUGAUAGAUGAGCCGAUGUCGGAUUAGCUAGUUGGUGAGGUAAUGGCUCACCAAGGCGACGAUCCGUAGCUGGUCUGAGAGGAUGAUCAGCCACACUGGAACUGAGACACGGUCCAGACUCCUACGGGAGGCAGCAGUGGGGAAUAUUGGACAAUGGGCGCAAGCCUGAUCCAGCCAUACCGCGUGGGUGAAGAAGGCCUUCGGGUUGUAAAGCCCUUUUGUUGGGAAAGAAAAGCGAUCGGUUAAUACCCGGUUGUUCUGACGGUACCCAAAGAAUAAGCACCGGCUAACUUCGUGCCAGCAGCCGCGGUAAUACGAAGGGUGCAAGCGUUACUCGGAAUUACUGGGCGUAAAGCGUGCGUAGGUGGUGGUUUAAGUCCGUUGUGAAAGCCCUGGGCUCAACCUGGGAAUUGCAGUGGAUACUGGGUCACUAGAGUGUGGUAGAGGAUAGUGGAAUUUCCGGUGUAGCAGUGAAAUGCGUAGAGAUCGGAAGGAACAUCUGUGGCGAAGGCGAC
RNAcentral lists this ribosomal RNA (729 nucleotides) under bacterium Ips_6. Its description in RNAcentral is "bacterial SSU rRNA". It matches the Rfam family "Bacterial small subunit ribosomal RNA", at positions 1 to 725 of the family's 1533-position model. The record is from RNAcentral.